UUGAAUUAUAUUGUUAAAACCGAGACAAUUACUUCAUUAUAUUGAGACAUAACAGAACAAAAUUUAGAUCAGAUUUGAACCCCUUUAGAUCUGGUUCUCUUGAGUAUAUUCCUAUAGUUGCAUCAUUAGUUCUACUUGAAGAGAAUAGUGCUAUAAUAUAAAAUUGUUGCAGCCAUUCUUUCUCUGAUGAAGUCUAAUUUUCAGGCAAAGCUGGUGGUAGUUGCUACCAUCUUGCUUCUUCUCUUGGACCAUUUUCCAGCAACUUUUUCACUAUAUCUUACUGGUGGAGAGAAGAGUUCAAUGCAUGAAGCUGAAGCCUACAAUAGCAGAUCAUAUGGCUCCAAGAGCUUGGCUUGGAGAAGAGGAGGUUGUUAUAGGUGUUGGACUAAAAGUGUGUUCAUAAGAAGAAGCAAAAUUAAUAAAGAAAACUUCCCAACCCGGAGAUCAAUGCGGCUUUCACCACCACCGCCACCUGUGGGUGGCCGACAGAGAGCAAUGAGUGUGCCUCCAGCUCCAGCCUCAGCUUCAGCCUCAUCGUCCAACUUUAAUUAAACCUUUAUUUUUUGCUAUCUUUAUGGAUCUGAUUAAUAGUUCAUUAGGUUCUUGGUAUAUAUAUACAUAUAUAUAUAUUGAUAGUGUCAGUGGCUUCCUCAAAUGGAAGUUUGUGUU
Humulus lupulus (European hop) is the source of this 669-nucleotide long non-coding RNA. RefSeq lists it as uncharacterized. The record is from RefSeq and is a predicted model, not a curated record. The transcript is spliced from 2 exons. NCBI's taxonomy places the organism in Eukaryota, Viridiplantae, Streptophyta, Magnoliopsida, Rosales, Cannabaceae.